This 272-nucleotide unclassified non-coding RNA is filed under the name air metagenome. RNAcentral describes it as "partial contains small subunit ribosomal RNA, internal transcribed spacer 1, and 5.8S ribosomal RNA". The stretch from base 1 to 46 matches the Rfam family "Eukaryotic small subunit ribosomal RNA", at positions 1786 to 1831 of the family's 1831-position model. The record is from RNAcentral.
AAGUCGUAACAAGGUUUCCGUAGGUGAACCUGCGGAAGGAUCAUUACCGAGUUCUUGUAAUGAGGUUGUAGCUGGCCUUUUACCGGGCAUGUGCUCGCCUUGUUCAAAUCCACUCUACACCUGUGCACUUACUGUGGGUUCCGGUUAGAAGGGUCUUGUAUAAGGCCUUUCGAGCAGGGCUCACGUUUUAUUACAAACGCUUCAGUAUCAGAAUGUUUAUUGCGAUAUAACGCAUCUUUAUACAACUUUCAGCAACGGAUCUCUUGGCUCUC